Molecule: long non-coding RNA, 561 nt
Filed under: Prunus persica (peach)
Lineage: Eukaryota; Viridiplantae; Streptophyta; Magnoliopsida; Rosales; Rosaceae
Description: long non-coding RNA (PPER_LNC000155)
Source: RNAcentral
GGGGAUUGGUUUGGGAGUAAAGGGUGGUGAUCAUGGGGGAAUGGGUGGAGAAGAAAAACCCGGAGAAGAGGUGGUGGGUUGGGUUUGGGGGAUGAAAAUACAUAAAUGGGAGGUGGGGGGAAGGGUCUGUGGGGAUGGGGAAUUGGUCUAGGAGUGAAGGAUGGUGGUCAUAGGGGAACGAGAGGAGGAAGGGAGGAGAUGGAAGAGGUUGGCAUUAGGUUUACUCUUUUUCUUCAAUUUCUUCCAAAAAAAUAAUUUUUGAAAAUGAUUUAACUGAAAUUGGAUGAAAUGUUGAGAAUUUAGACGGUAGGGGGAAAUUGGCAAAAAAAAAGUUCAUAUCCUUAAUUUUCUAUAUAAAAAAAAACAUAUGGGGUGAAUUGAAAGCUAUGUACAAGUUCAAGGGGCAAAUCACCAGUUAACUCAAACCAAAAUUAUAGUGAUGAAAACAUAAAUACAAAUUGACAACUGAAAAAAAAAAAACAAGAAUACAAAAUCAAUUUCUCCGCCUACAAGAAUACAAAAUCAAUUUUUCCGCCUACGUAGAGUGAACAUUAAUCCGAC